RNAcentral lists this ribosomal RNA (371 nucleotides) under uncultured organism. RNAcentral's name for it is "partial 16S ribosomal RNA". It matches the Rfam family "Bacterial small subunit ribosomal RNA", at positions 526 to 896 of the family's 1533-position model. The record is from RNAcentral.
GAAGGGGGGCUAGCGUUGUUCGGAAUUACUGGGGCGUAAAGCGCGCGCAGGCGAUUUUCCAAGUCAGAGGUGAAAGCCCAGAGCUCAACUCUGGAACUGCCUUUGAAACUGGAAAACUAGGGUACGGGAGAGGUGAGUGGAAUUCCGAGUGUAGAGGUGAAAUUCGUAGAUAUUCGGAAGAACACCAGUGGCGAAGGCGGCUCACUGGCCCGUUACCGACGCUCAGGCGCGACAGCGUGGGGAGCAAACAGGAUUAGAUACCCUGGUAGUCCACGCCGUAAACGAUGGAUGCUAGCCGUUGGUAAGCAUGCUUAUCAGUGGCGCAGCUAACGCAUUAAGCAUCCCGCCUGGGGAGUACGGCCGCAAGGUUG